CGUUCAGGGGUAAACCUGAGAAACCCGAAAGGUCGAAAGAUGAGAUUCAUUUACUUUUUAUCGUUAAUCAACCAAUUUGUACUAGCAUGUGACAAAAAUUUUUAUUAGGAAUUUAUUUUUAGUAAAAAUAUAUGCACUGCUGUAUAUUGUUAAUUGUAUGAUAACGAGGUAUGCACUUCUCAUCUUGUAGGACGUUGCGACCCAUUAAAUAUUAAUCUAUAGGCAUUGGUGCGUUGAUUAAUGUACAAUAUUAUUUUUUGAUAAUAUUUUGUGUAUGUUAAACGCCUAUGUUUCUUGAUUAAUUGUUUGAUGGUAUUAAUUAUAAAUUGAUAUUGAGCCGCGUUAUUAACGCGUUCAGAUCCACCACGAGUAUAAAUAGGUUUUAAUUUUUAAUUAAAACAUAUUAUAUAUACGGAUUUUAUGCCGUUAUAUGAUACUAUUUAACUGUCAGUAGGUGUAUGAUAAUGAACUGGUUCAUUUUUUUUAUUAAAAAUUUAUCUGUCAGCGACGAUAUAGCUUUGGGUACUUUCAGGACCCGUCUUGAAACACGGACCAAGGAGUCUAGCAUGUACGCAAGUCAUUGGGAAUAAAAUAUUUUUUCAUCGAAAUAUUUAUAAAUUUUAUGAAACCCAAAGGCACAAUGAAAGUAAAUAUUAUUUAUAUUUUUUUAUAAAUGAUAAAAGGAGGAUAUAUUUAUAUUAUGUAUUAAAUAUCGCACUCCUAGGGCGUCUUAUAUUAUUAUAAUUUAGUUUUCGGAUUAUAUUAUAAUAGAGGCGCACCUAGAGCGUACACGCUGGGACCCGAAAGAUGGUGAACUAUGCCUGGUCAGGAUGAAGUCAGGGGAAACCCUGAUGGAGGUCCGUAGCGAUUCUGACGUGCAAAUCGAUCGUCGGAACUGGGUAUAGGGGCGAAAGACUAAUCGAACCAUC
This 929-nucleotide ribosomal RNA is filed under the name Chrysoperla nr. comanche 27873. RNAcentral's name for it is "partial 28S ribosomal RNA". The stretch from base 552 to 929 matches the Rfam family "Eukaryotic large subunit ribosomal RNA", at positions 665 to 944 of the family's 3401-position model. The record is from RNAcentral. RNAcentral also lists the same sequence under 6 other names. Lineage: Eukaryota; Metazoa; Arthropoda; Insecta; Neuroptera; Chrysopidae.